Molecule: ribosomal RNA, 303 nt
Filed under: uncultured Pseudomonadota bacterium
Lineage: Bacteria; Pseudomonadati; Pseudomonadota
Description: bacterial SSU rRNA
Rfam family: Bacterial small subunit ribosomal RNA
Source: RNAcentral
GAUGAACGCUGGCGGCGUGCUUAAUACAUGCAAGUCGAACGGAUUUCCUUCGGGGGAUCAGUGGCGCACGGGUGAGUAACGCGUGGGAACCUGUCAUGGAGUGGGGAACAACCGCUGGAAACGGCGGCUAAUACCGCAUGAGCCCUGAGGGGCAAAGGUCGCAAGACCGCUUUGUGAGGGGCCCGCGUCCGAUUAGCUUGUUGGUGGGGUAAUGGCCUACCAAGGCUACGAUCGGUAGCUGGUCUGAGAGGAUGAUCAGCCACACUGGGACUGAGACACGGCCCAGACUCCUACGGGUGGCAG